AACGAACGCUGGCGGCAUGCCUAACACAUGCAAGUCGAACGAGACCUUCGGGUCUAGUGGCGCACGGGUGCGUAACGCGUGGGAACCUGCCCUUAGGUUCGGAAUAACUCCCCGAAAGGGGUGCUAAUACCGGAUAAUGUCUUCGGACCAAAGAUUUAUGGCCUUUGGAUGGGCCCGCGUUGGAUUAGCUAGUUGGUAGGGUAAAAGCCUACCAAGGCGACGAUCCAUAGCUGGUCUGAGAGGAGGAUCAGCCACACUGGGACUGCGACACGGCCCAGACUCCUACGGGAGGCAGCAGUGGAGAAUAUUGGACGAUGGGCGAAAGCCUGAUCCAGCAAUGCCGCGUGAGUGAUGAAGGCCGUAGGGUUGUAAAGCUCUUUUAGCCGGGAUGAUAAUGACAGUACCGGGAGAAUAAGCUCCGGCUAACUCCGUG
This 433-nucleotide ribosomal RNA is filed under the name uncultured bacterium. Its description in RNAcentral is "partial 16S ribosomal RNA". It matches the Rfam family "Bacterial small subunit ribosomal RNA", at positions 29 to 507 of the family's 1533-position model. The record is from RNAcentral.